RNAcentral lists this ribosomal RNA (475 nucleotides) under uncultured bacterium. Its description in RNAcentral is "bacterial SSU rRNA". It matches the Rfam family "Bacterial small subunit ribosomal RNA", at positions 30 to 506 of the family's 1533-position model. The record is from RNAcentral.
UUGAACGCUGGCGGCAUGCUUUACACAUGCAAGUCGAACGGUAACAGGUUAAGCUGACGAGUGGCGAACGGGUGAGUAAUGCAUCGGAACGUGCCCGAUCGUGGGGGAUAACGCAGCGAAAGCUGCGCUAAUACCGCAUACGAUCUGAGGAUGAAAGCGGGGGACCGUAAGGCCUCGCGCGAUCGGAGCGGCCGAUGUCAGCUUAGGUAGUUGGUGGGGUAAAGGCUCACCAAGCCUGCGAUCUGUAGCUGGUCUGAGAGGACGACCAGCCACACUGGGACUGAGACACGGCCCAGACUCCUACGGGAGGCAGCAGUGGGGAAUUUUGGACAAUGGGCGCAAGCCUGAUCCAGCCAUUCCGCGUGCAGGAUGAAGGCCUUCGGGUUGUAAACUGCUUUUGUACGGAACGAAAAGGCUCUGGUGAAUACCUGGGGCUCAUGACGGUACCGUAAGAAUAAGCACCGGCUAACUACGU